GGAUGAACGCUGGCGGCGUGCCUAAUACAUGCAAGUCGAGCGAACAGACGAGGAGCUUGCUCCUCUGACGUUAGCGGCGGACGGGUGAGUAACACGUGGAUAACCUACCUAUAAGACUGGGAUAACUUCGGGAAACCGGAGCUAAUACCGGAUAAUAUAUUGAACCGCAUGGUUCAAUAGUGAAAGACGGUUUUGCUGUCACUUAUAGAUGGAUCCGCGCCGCAUUAGCUAGUUGGUAAGGUAACGGCUUACCAAGGCGACGAUGCGUAGCCGACCUGAGAGGGUGAUCGGCCACACUGGAACUGAGACACGGUCCAGACUCCUACGGGAGGCAGCAGUAGGGAAUCUUCCGCAAUGGGCGAAAGCCUGACGGAGCAACGCCGCGUGAGUGAUGAAGGUCUUCGGAUCGUAAAACUCUGUUAUUAGGGAAGAACAAAUGUGUAAGUAACUAUGCACGUCUUGACGGUACCGAAUCAGAAAGCCACGGCUAACUACGUG
This 498-nucleotide ribosomal RNA is filed under the name uncultured bacterium. RNAcentral's name for it is "partial 16S ribosomal RNA". It matches the Rfam family "Bacterial small subunit ribosomal RNA", at positions 27 to 507 of the family's 1533-position model. The record is from RNAcentral.